Long non-coding RNA from Strigops habroptila (Kakapo), 1740 nucleotides. RefSeq lists it as uncharacterized. Lineage: Eukaryota; Metazoa; Chordata; Aves; Psittaciformes; Psittacidae. The record is from RefSeq and is a predicted model, not a curated record. The transcript is spliced from 2 exons.
UAUUCUUAAGAAGGGUGCGUUUUGGCUGCCAGAAACAGAAUAAUCCUGCCUUCAGCUCUGAGAAUUUUGUAGUGCUUCAUUUAUGAAGCUGACAAAGAGAAGGUGGGAGAAAGAGGCACAAAACAACAUUGCUGAAGUUAAAAAGAAAUAACUGCCCAAACCAGCCUCAGCAAAAAAUGAAACACACAGUAUCCUGGGUGUAGGCUUCUGUUACUGAACUAGCUGAGAUCUUCUGACAUAACAAAGCUAAACUAGCUACCUGAUGAAAAAGUUAUAUAUCUAGGACAGCACAAUUGGGAUUGCUUAAUGUACACAAGAGGAAGAAAAUGAUUUUUCUACCAGGAAAGUGAUUUUCUGGAAACUCCAGGUUAGCCAAAUGAAUUUCUAAUGGUUGAAAGGAUCUGUAAUUAAUUCUGGUUAAAGCGUGUUCUUGUUAAUGUAUCUGGUACUUCAUGAGGAUGGAAAAGGGAAGAAUAAGGUCAUUCUUUAUGUGGCCCCACAGUAGCCUAUAAAAUGCAGAAAUGCAGGUUUGAGCUGCCUUAUGGAAAAACAAUAUAUUGUGCUAUAUUCUGCUGUGUGUGUCCCUUAAGCCCUAGAAAGCAGAGAACCUCUUUAAAGCAGUAUUUUCCAUUCCAGCUCAGUUGUACAGUAAGAAUUUACCAGAAUUAACUUGUUUUUACUGUGUGUCGCAUUCCGAAAAAAAUCCCAACCCCUACUUAAUUCAGCUCUUGAAUGUUUUUGAAACACUGACAUUUAAGUGAGAGAGAUGUUUUCUUGCAAGGUGUGUGGGCUUGUGAAGAAUACAUGCCAAGAGUUAACAGACAUGACUCUUGUAGCCUUAGCCAAGAAAUAGGCUGCAGAAUACACUGACUAUAUACAUUCAUUUAGGAAACAUUCUUCUUUAUGCCCAACUAACUGAAAUUAACUUCUCUUGUCAGCUAGUAACAUAGAGGUAUAUUAGACCUUAGAAAAUAAGAAGUACAAGAAGAAGUCUGUUUAAUGUUGGGGGUAAGUACUUAAUAUCAUGCUGAUGAUUUACCUUUAGUUGUUUAUUAUACAAAGUGUGGUGGCUUACAUACAAAUGGAACUAAAAAUUGGUAUUGAAUUGUAGCAUAGAGAGAAGACCAAGUUUGAAAGUAUUUGGACUUGAAAUGUCACUGUUUCCAGAUGCAAAGUUUCAGUAAAUGAAAUAUCUUUCUUUUGUGCAGUCCGGCUGAAGACUGAAAUGUUUUAAUAUUUAAAGUCUCUUUAUAAGCUGAUAAAAAUGUAUGGAACUUCCACAACUAAUAAAACCUGAAGCAUGCCCAUGAAUGGAAAAAAUGAAUCUUGCCAAGUUUGAUCACAACAUGGUCUUUCCAACUGCAGACCAUAUAAACCGAAUAUGUUGCUUGAAAGUUUUGAUAUAUUCUCUUGAUUUUAUUUUUAUGCAUUUUAGCAGCAGUAGCAGCUAAAGGAGCCAAAUGUGUCUUGGGAACUUUGUUGGUUUAGUAUAAGGCAUGAUAGCUCAUCAGUGCAGUGACACUAAACAUGUCCUUAAUUAAAGCAAAAUAGGAUGCUAGAGAUGAACUUAUGGAAGCCUAAUGGCUUUUAAGCACUAUGCCAACUACUGUACAGCAUACAUGUGUUGUGUUUUAUGUGUUUCCCUUUCUUUCUGCAUGUGUAGUUACAUGAGAAGGAAAAGGUGCAAGGCCAGACUCACAGCUUGCUGCUUAUAAUUUGAGUGAUUUGGCAAAGCUGCCA